This 204-nucleotide long non-coding RNA is filed under the name Brassica napus (rape). RNAcentral describes it as "long non-coding RNA (BNAP_LNC011550)". The record is from RNAcentral. Lineage: Eukaryota; Viridiplantae; Streptophyta; Magnoliopsida; Brassicales; Brassicaceae.
GAGUUUCGGAGGAUCACAUUGGUGUCGAUCGACGCCAAGCCACGAACAUCAAUCGUUAGAGGUCAUCCAAAAUCUAUCGACGUCCUCUCCUGGACAUUGCUCGACAACACCUACGGAAUCAACAGCAUCUUGCAAAGCCGUGAGGAUCAUGACUCACCAGGAGUUCAUAGCAAAACACCCACAUCAGCCCAGCCAUGUCUACGU